This 465-nucleotide ribosomal RNA is filed under the name uncultured bacterium. RNAcentral describes it as "partial 16S ribosomal RNA". It matches the Rfam family "Bacterial small subunit ribosomal RNA", at positions 338 to 795 of the family's 1533-position model. The record is from RNAcentral.
CCUACGGGUGGCAGCAGUGGGGAAUAUUGCGCAAUGGGCGAAAGCCUGACGCAGCGACGCCGCGUGAGGGAUGAAGGUCUUCGGAUCGUAAACCUCUGUCAGCAGGGAAGAAAGGUCACUGUGCUAAUCAGCAGUGAAUUGACGGUACCUGCAAAGGAAGCACCGGCGAACUACGUGCCAGAAACCGCGGUAAUACGGAGGGUGCGAGCGUUAAUCGGAAGUACUGGGCGUAAAGCGCUCGUAGGCGGUAUGGCAAGUCAAGGGGGAAAUCCCCGGGCUCAACGUUGGAACUGCCUUUGAAACUGGCAAACUGGAGUGUGUGAGAGGAUAGUGGAAUUCCAGGUGUAGGGGUGAAAUCCGUAGAUAUCAGGAGGAACAUCAGUGGCGAAGGCGACUAACUGGCACAUAACUGACGCUGAGGAGCGAAAGCGUGGGUAGCAAACAGGAUUAGAUACCCGGGUAGUC